RNAcentral lists this ribosomal RNA (119 nucleotides) under Octopus vulgaris (common octopus). RNAcentral also lists the same sequence under 1 other name. Lineage: Eukaryota; Metazoa; Mollusca; Cephalopoda; Octopoda; Octopodidae. The record is from RNAcentral.
GCUUACGGUCAUAUCACGUUGAAAGCAACGGUUCUCAUCUGAUCACUGAAGUUAAGCAAUGUUGAGCCUAGUUAGUACUUAGAUGGACGACCACUUGGGAAACCUAGGUGCUGUAAGCA